RNAcentral lists this ribosomal RNA (540 nucleotides) under Triticum aestivum (bread wheat). RNAcentral's name for it is "partial small subunit ribosomal RNA". The record is from RNAcentral. Lineage: Eukaryota; Viridiplantae; Streptophyta; Magnoliopsida; Poales; Poaceae.
AUGCCGGCGCUCUCCACCGGAGCACCGCGGCGAACAAGUAGACCAGGCCUCAUCCAGCCACCGCUGUGUCAACGCAGCAAGUCACACUUCAUGAGCUCCUCCACUAAAUUCGAUCGAUCCGUGGACGCCGCGUCCCCGUCCGACGACCAGGAGCAAGGGCUGCACCAAACAGUGUCGUCGGAUCCGCCGACGCGACCGGCGGGGCGCACCAAGCUCAAGGAGACGCUCCACCCGGUGUACCGUAGUGGCCUGGCCGGGGGAUGGCUGUGCGAGCUGCGCGUGCACGGGACGAAGGGUUCCAGGUUCUGGCACGGGCACGGCACCUUCGCCACCGCUGAGACGGCGGCGCGCGCGCUCGCGCUAUCAGGCUGCGACGCCUGCCUCAACUUUGCCGACUCCGCCUGUUGGAUGCUGCCCGUUCUCGCGGCCGGGUCGUUCGGCUUCAGCAGCGCACAUGUGUUCAAGGACGCCGUGGCCACCGCCGUCGUGGCAGUCCAGCGCAAGCAACCGCUGGUGUCUCCGGCGGACAUGGCCGACUAA